GUAAGUCUUCUCAGUGCUUUUCGGGUCUGUUUCCUAAUGCACAUUCUCAUGAUUUCUAUCAAUAAUACCACGGGAACCGAGGAGGAUAUACAGAGGAAGCGAAGAUACUUAUCUCUGGUAUCCCACGUGGAAGACAGAAUGCAUUUGCCAAAGACACAGUGCCAUGCAAGCUGUGACCCUGGACAAGUAACUUUUUCUUGGCAAUUUUUAUCUUUAAGAAAAAAACAAUAAAUAAUGCUCCUUAGGUAUGAAAUUUCAAAAUGUGUGAUAAGUGCAAGUGAGGUUGGAUGGGAGGCUUCUCCCACUCCAUUAGCAGAAUUAGGGCUUGUGCCUGAGGAAGGGUUGAGGUGGGGUCCAAGUCUGCUCCAAUCGGUGGAGUCAAGGGGACAGCAGUUGUUGCCGUGGGAAGCCAUGGUACCACAGACUCACUGAGUCCAAGCCACAAGAGCAGGCUAUAGGCCACGAACACAGGGAAGGCCCAGUUGGUGAAGACAGUCAAGAGUAACCCAUUAUUGCUCUGGUAGAUGCAAUCUUCUUCUCUAAGGAAGGCUGGAUGAUGACACUAGAGACCAUCCACAGCAAUACGGCUACUUGUCUUUAAAAGAAAACUGAAAGACUGCAGGUGGCCUUUGGCUCACUGCAUGAAGGUGAUGUCUUAAUAAAGACCAGUAGAGUUACCACUAUUUGAGCAGCAGUUUGUAUGCUGGUAGCAAAAUGGUUUAACUUAGCAAUGUCGUGAGAGAUGAAAUGCAUGAUUAACGUGAAUCCUGAUUGUGGCUUUUACACACCAGCAUAGAGUUAUGAUUCAAUUUUGUAAACAAAAGCUGUCUUAAAUGGCUUCUAAAUAAGUUGGUAACUCACUUGUGUGUGGAACUUUUUUUAAAAAAUGUGGUAAAAUCUCAUGAAGCAACUCUUCUAUCUUCUAAUCCGUGUGUAAUGCAAGGAAAUUGAUGUAUAAUUCCUCACUAGAGGUACAGUUCUUUCUUCUAGUGUCUUCUUGAAAUGAAUCAUUAAUGCUGUCUCUAAAUGAAGCAGAUGCUCAGUUUCCCAGGUGCCUAAAAAUGUUUGAGAAUAUUGUCUGCCUUAUGUAAUCCAUUAAAAAGUUUACACAUUUCUCACUGACUUUCAUUUCAUUUCCUCUCUUUUGGCAUUAUUUAUAGGAAAUUACAGCAGAUACAUACUAAGGAAGUAAGAAUUUUCCAACCCAAAAAUGAGUAACUUGCUAAUAUUUAUUUAUGUUGUAUUUCUAGUCUAAUGCUGUUUUUAAAAAGAGCUUAAAGAGUUCAUUCUUUGAUAAGCUAUAGAGUUUGCUUUAAAGUGUUACUAGCUAUGCCAGCCACAGCAAAAUGAAGAGCGUAACUUGCAAUGUUCACAGAUAAUGUGAUAUCCUAGGACUGGGGUCCCAAACUCAAACAUGUAUUACCUAUAAGAGCCAGGCAAGCAACAGGAGUGAAUGAAGCUGACUGGAUGAAUGACCACAGGGGAUGCUGAGGGCUGUGCCAAAUUGGGGAGCAUAUUCCAGGUAACCACUGGCAUGCGGGCUCACGGGCACAGACCUUCCAGCUCGUCAGGAGGAGCUGAAAAUCCAGGGUUUUAUGUGAAAAUGUCCAAAUUUUUAGUGUUGAUAAUUUUAAAUAAAGGCCAAACAUAUAUCUGAUGACCUGAUUUGGCCAUGGGCUGCCAGUUUGUGAACUUUGCUCAAACAAAAAAUAGAUAGACAUAGGUAGAUAAAAACUUCUCCAGGGUAUUUAUAAAUAUAUUUUAUUUGGCUAGCGUGAAAAUAACUAAAAUCCAGUAGGCUUUUUUAGAUUUCUAAGUGAACCUAUUAAAUAUUUUACUGUGCAAAUCUUAAGGUUUUCUUUAUAUAAUAUUAUUCUUAAGGCCUCACAAAUUAAGUAUCUCUCAAUACAUAGGAGAACAAUGAACCAAGGGAUGACAAAAUGGCUGGGAACCAUUCAAUUAAACUCUAAAAUAUCCACAUUCAGCCAGUAGAUUUGGAAACAUUAUGGGGCAACAAACCCAAAACCAUUGUUCAGGGUUUCAAAUUAAUGCAAUGCCUUCUCCAGGACUCUGAAAACUCCUUCCCUAUGUAACUAUCCUCUCCACCACUGUGGGAGAACAACUAUAGGACAUGUUUGGAGAAAAACAUACCUAAUACUCAGAUUUUCCUUGGAAGGAAUUUCAGAAUCUCAAAAGGGUCAGACCUAUUGUCUAUCUAGCACCAUGUUUGGGCUGUGAAUGAAUCAAGAAUGGCUAUGAAACCAAGGAUGGUUUCCACAUCACUCAGCAUCUCUAGCUUUUCUCACCAACCUGUCAUACAACCAGCAAGCUCAGAUUAAUGCUAUCUAACUGUUUUCUAAGACUGUCAUCACCCUAUUCAAUCCUUUAGUUAAUAUGUUCCAGAACUUUCCCACCUAACUCAAAUCAUGUAAGAGCAAAAUUUUAAAGUUGAAGGGACCCUGAAGAUCAUUUGCUUCAAUCUCUUAAUUUCCAUUUCAUUGCUGUAAAAUGACAGUUUCAAACUUUAAGUGAUGUAGAUUUAUCAUAGAGUUCUAAGAUUCUAGGAAUAAAUUCUGCUUCACCCCAUGUUUAUGUUUCAUUGUUUUUUAAAUAAUAAAAUAUAACCUAAUGUUUCAAAUAUCUUAUCAGCCAUUUUUCUUUCCAGAAUGGAGUCCUAAUUUUUGUGCUCACUUUCUACUUUAUUUAGGAAAUUAUAUUACCUGUUUAAAAAUCCUAAGAGGCCAAUUAGAACCUUCUAAUAGACAUGUGAUCCAACAGACUCCAGAGAAGCUACAUAUGAGUUCUGCCACUUAUGGGAUGCACAACCUUGAACAAGUUACUCAACGUCUCUAUUCCUCUGAUGUGUCAUCUGUAAAAAUGGCGAGGAUAUUACU
Molecule: long non-coding RNA, 2894 nt
Organism: Equus caballus (horse)
Lineage: Eukaryota; Metazoa; Chordata; Mammalia; Perissodactyla; Equidae
Source: Ensembl